ACAGUGGCGAACGGGUGAGUAACACGUGACCAACCUGCCCCGCGCUCCGGGACAACCUCGGGAAACCGAGGCUAAUACCGGAUGCGCCGCCCGCCCCGCAUGGGGCGGGCGGGAAAGCCGAGACGGCGCGGGAUGGGGUCGCGGCCCAUCAGGUAGACGGCGGGAUGAGAGCCCACCGUGCCUGCGACGGGUAGCCGGCCUGAGAGGGCGAUCGGCCACAUUGGGACUGAGAUACGGCCCAG
This 242-nucleotide ribosomal RNA is filed under the name uncultured Actinomycetes bacterium. RNAcentral's name for it is "uncultured actinobacterium partial 16S ribosomal RNA". It matches the Rfam family "Bacterial small subunit ribosomal RNA", at positions 92 to 334 of the family's 1533-position model. The record is from RNAcentral. Lineage: Bacteria; Bacillati; Actinomycetota; Actinomycetes.